CCUACGGGAGGCAGCAGUGAGGAAUAUUGGUCAAUGGACGAGAGUCUGAACCAGCCAAGUAGCGUGAAGGAUGACUGCCCUACGGGUUGUAAACUUCUUUUAUAUGGGAAUAAAACAGGGUAUGCAUACCCUCUUGUAUGUACCAUAUGAAUAAGGAUCGGCUAACUCCGUGCCAGCAGCCGCGGUAAUACGGAGGAUCCGAGCGUUAUCCGGAUUUAUUGGGUUUAAAGGGAGCGUAGGUGGAUUGUUAAGUCAGUUGUGAAAGUUUGCGGCUCAACCGUAAAAUUGCAGUUGAAACUGGCAGUCUUGAGUACAGUAGAGGUAGGCGGAAUUCGUGGUGUAGCGGUGAAAUGCUUAGAUAUCACGAAGAACUCCGAUUGCGAAGGCAGCUUACUGGACUGCAACUGACACUGAUGCUCGAAAGUGUGGGUAUCAAACAGGAUUAGAUACCCCUGUAGUC
Molecule: ribosomal RNA, 460 nt
Filed under: uncultured bacterium
Lineage: Bacteria
Description: partial 16S ribosomal RNA
Rfam family: Bacterial small subunit ribosomal RNA
Source: RNAcentral